GAUGAACGCUGGCGGCGUGCUUAACACAUGCAAGUCGAACGGAUAGCGAAAGGUGCUUGUAGCGUCGAGGGGAGAGGCGAACGGGAGAGCAACACGAGGACCACCGGAGUCAGGGAUGGGGCUACCAAAUGGAAAUAGAUACUAAAAACGAAUAAAACUUAGUGUCGGGUGACACAAAGGCAACAGGCGAUUGGGGGUGACCAAGUGAUGGUAGCGAGGUGCAUUAGUUAGUUGGUGGGGUAAAGGCCUACCAAGGCGAGGAUGCGUAGCCGAGUUGAGAGACUGAUCGGCCACAUUGGGACUGAGACACGGCCCAGACUCCUACGGGAGGCAGCAGUGGGGAAUCUUGGACAAUGGGCGAAAGCCUGAUGCAGCAACGCCGCGUGUGUGAAGAAGGCUUUCGGGUCGUAAAGCACUUUUGUAUGGGAAGAACAGCUAUGAGAUGAUAUGACGUGGGUAUGACGGUACCGGACCAAAAAGCAACGGCUAAAUACGUG
Molecule: ribosomal RNA, 497 nt
Filed under: uncultured bacterium
Lineage: Bacteria
Description: partial 16S ribosomal RNA
Rfam family: Bacterial small subunit ribosomal RNA
Source: RNAcentral